CUUAAAAAUGCCAACGGUCAAAGAAGAAAUCGGCAGGUAGGUAGAAAAAUACAAGGAAAGAACGGCAACACAACCAACUAAAGUUGCUACAAUCGAAGAUUCUGAGAUAGUCAACGCCCCAUGGUCAGAAACGGGGAUAUACACAAAGCUUAAAAAUACCAACGCUCAAAGAAGAAAUCGGCAGGUAGGUAGAAAAAUACAAAGGAAGAACGGCAACGCAACCAAACCAGCUGGCUGCUGAUGCGAGCAAAACUCUCACAAAAAGAAGACUGAAGAGUAAACACCAAACUCACCUUACUAAAGAUGUAAAAUAGACGAACUCGAAGAUGAGAGUAGCCAUCCACAUGUUAUUUAGCGAUUAAGCUAGAAAAAUUUACCGAAUCUCCGGCUGGACAAAUUAUAAAGUAUAAAUUACAUAAUAAAAAAAAAAGUGUAUAUACAGAAUCGUUUAAUAUUAUCAUCAUAGUUCGGUGUCAUUGUAGUAUUAGUAAAAUUUCAAAAUAUUUCGAAUAGCACAUGCAAUACGUUCAUAAGAGAUUGUAAACUAUAACGAAAGAUUUAUUUAUACAUAUAGUCUUCAGUGAAAGAAAAGAGCAAGUGAUAUAAAUAAACAAUUCGUUGACGACGACGAAUAUAACAAGAAUAUAUAUAGCAAAAAGGAGCAAACUGAGC
This 672-nucleotide unclassified non-coding RNA is filed under the name Bombus terrestris (buff-tailed bumblebee). RNAcentral describes it as "misc RNA ENSBTSG00005030399.1". The record is from RNAcentral. Lineage: Eukaryota; Metazoa; Arthropoda; Insecta; Hymenoptera; Apidae.